This 465-nucleotide ribosomal RNA is filed under the name uncultured bacterium. RNAcentral's name for it is "bacterial SSU rRNA". It matches the Rfam family "Bacterial small subunit ribosomal RNA", at positions 338 to 795 of the family's 1533-position model. The record is from RNAcentral.
CCUACGGGUGGCACCAGUGGGGAAUAUUGCACAAUGGGCGCAAGCCUGAUGCAGCCAUGCCGCGUGUGUAAAGAAGGCCUCCGGGUUGUAAAGCACUUUCAGCGGGGAGGAAGGCGUUAAGGUUAAUAACCUCAUCGAUUGACGUUACCCGCAGAAGAAGCACCGGCUAACUCCGUGCCAGCAGCCGCGGUAAUACGGAGGGUGCAAGCGUUAAUCGGAAUUACUGGGCGUAAAGCGCACGCAGGCGGUCUGUCAAGUCGGAUGUGAAAUCCCCGGGCUCAACCUGGGAACUGCAUUCGAUACUGGCAGGCUAGAGUCUUGUAGGGGGGGGUAGAAUUCCAGGUGUAGCGGUGAAAUGCGUAGAGAUCUGGAGGAAUACCGGUGGCGAAGGCGGCCCCCUGGACAAAGACUGACGCUCAGGUGCGAAAGCGUGGGGAGCAAACAGGAUUAGAUACCCGAGUAGUC